RNAcentral lists this ribosomal RNA (548 nucleotides) under uncultured Glomeromycotina. Its description in RNAcentral is "SSU rRNA". It matches the Rfam family "Eukaryotic small subunit ribosomal RNA", at positions 548 to 1097 of the family's 1831-position model. The record is from RNAcentral. Lineage: Eukaryota; Fungi; Glomeromycota.
UUGGAGGGCAAGUCUGGUGCCAGCAGCCGCGGUAAUUCCAGCUCCAAUAGCGUAUAUUAAAGUUGUUGCAGUUAAAAAGCUCGUAGUUGAAUUUCGGGGUCAGUAGGUUGGUCGUGCCACUGGUAUGCACUGGUCUCACUGAUUCCUCCUUCCUGAUGAACCGUAAUGCCAUUAAUUUGGUGUUGCGGGGAAUCUGGACUGUUACUUUGAAAAAAUUAGAGUGUUUAAAGCAGGCUAACGCUUGAAUACAUUAGCAUGGAAUAAUGAAAUAGGACGAUCGAUCCUAUUUUGUUGGUUUCUAGGAUUGACGUAAUGAUUAAUAGGGAUAGUUGGGGGCAUUAGUAUUCAAUUGUCAGAGGUGAAAUUCUUGGAUUUAUUGAAGACUAACUACUGCGAAAGCAUUUGCCAAGGAUGUUUUCAUUAAUCAAGAACGAAAGUUAGGGGAUCGAAGACGAUCAGAUACCGUCGUAGUCUUAACCAUAAACUAUGCCGACUAGGGAUCGGAUGAUGUUAAUUUUUUAAUGACUCAUUCGGCGCCUUACGGGAAA